RNAcentral lists this ribosomal RNA (253 nucleotides) under uncultured bacterium. RNAcentral describes it as "partial 16S ribosomal RNA". It matches the Rfam family "Bacterial small subunit ribosomal RNA", at positions 524 to 776 of the family's 1533-position model. The record is from RNAcentral.
UACAGAGGUCUCAAGCGUUGUUCGGAUUCAUUGGGCGUAAAGGGUGCGUAGGCGGCGGGGCAAGUCGGCUGUGAAAUCUCAGGGCUCAACCCUGAAACUGCAUUCGAUACUGCCUUGCUCGAGGACUGGAGAGGAGAUUGGAAUUCACGGUGUAGCAGUGAAAUGCGUAGAUAUCUGGAGGAACAUCAGUGGCGAAGGCGACACCCUGGACUGAUACUGACACUGAGGUGCGAAAGCGUGGGGAGCAAACAGG